Molecule: transfer RNA, 83 nt
Filed under: Canis lupus familiaris (dog)
Lineage: Eukaryota; Metazoa; Chordata; Mammalia; Carnivora; Canidae
Also listed under: 1 other name
Rfam family: tRNA
About the family: Transfer RNA (tRNA) molecules are approximately 80 nucleotides in length. Their secondary structure includes four short double-helical elements and three loops (D, anti-codon, and T loops).
Source: Rfam by way of RNAcentral
GCCUGGGUAGCUCAGUGGUUGAGCAUCUGCCUUCAGCUCAGGGCAUGAUCCCAGCGCUCUGGGAUCAAGUCCCACAUCAGGCU